UCGUAGGAAAUCGAAGCUGAUGGUCUA
This 27-nucleotide small RNA is filed under the name Bombyx mori (domestic silkworm). RNAcentral describes it as "ovarian small RNA-29135". Lineage: Eukaryota; Metazoa; Arthropoda; Insecta; Lepidoptera; Bombycidae. The record is from RNAcentral.